GUGAGGAAUAUUGGGCAAUGGAGGCAACUCUGACCCAGCCAUGCCGCGUGCAGGAAGACGGUCCUAUGGAUUGUAAACUGCUUUUAUACGGGAAGAAACACCCCCUCGUGAGGGGACUUGACGGUACCGUAAGAAUAAGGAUCGGCUAACUCCGUGCCAGCAGCCGCGGUAAUACGGAGGAUCCAAGCGUUAUCCGGAAUCAUUGGGUUUAAAGGGUCCGUAGGCGGCCUUAUAAGUCAGUGGUGAAAUCUCCUAGCUCAACUAGGAAACUGCCAUUGAUACUGUAGGGCUUGAAUUAUUGUGAAGUAACUAGAAUAUGUAGUGUAGCGGUGAAAUGCUUAGAUAUUACAUGGAAUACCAAUUGCGAAGGCAGGUUACUAACAAUAUAUUGACGCUGAUGGACGAAAGCGUGGGUAGCGAACAGGAUUAGAAACCCUAGUAGUCC
Molecule: ribosomal RNA, 445 nt
Filed under: uncultured bacterium
Lineage: Bacteria
Description: partial 16S ribosomal RNA
Rfam family: Bacterial small subunit ribosomal RNA
Source: RNAcentral